This 1338-nucleotide long non-coding RNA is filed under the name Triticum aestivum (bread wheat). RNAcentral's name for it is "long non-coding RNA (TAES_LNC002137)". The record is from RNAcentral. Lineage: Eukaryota; Viridiplantae; Streptophyta; Magnoliopsida; Poales; Poaceae.
GUGCUGCUCCGCCUCGGCUACAUCGACUUCGACGCCGACGGUUCGGUAAGGCACUCCCCCCAUCUUCUCUUAUCCUUCCAGCCGCCGCACCUCACGCGCGAGUCCGAAGGCGCAACGCGCACUACACACACCGCCUAGGUGCCCCUUCCCCGGCGUCUUUGUGAUGCUCGACGCCACCGCCCGACCCUCUGCCGCGGCAGGCAGCCGAUGCCUUUCCCCCAAGCGCUGCCUCGGCGCCCCUCUCCUGGUCUCGGUAGGAUUCUUGAUUGUGCCUCCAUCAUCUCUGUGAACGGCCGUCGCUAUUGUGCGUUCCUCUCGUGGUUAAAAUAAUUGUACAUCUUCUCUGCCUAUUUGGUAUGUAAGUAGUGUGUUUUCCUCUUCUGGUUGAUAUGCAAGUAAUGCGUGCCCAUUGGAAGUUAAUGUCAUAUAGGAAAGAGGGAAGCACCACAAUGAACUGCAGCCGAGUUCGAGGAAUAAUUGUUCUUAUAAUGCAAUUUGGGCUCUGUUAAUUGGUGAAUUCUAUUUUAGAAGUCCACUUUUAUAGGGAAAAAGUAGGUGCCACAAUCUUGAACUCCCUGUUAGUGUUAGAUAUUCAAGGACCUGAUUUAGAUUAACCUUGUAGUUUUGAUAUGUUGAAUCACAAGCUAGCAAUAAUCUGUUGUAUGCUUGCACCAAAUCCUUUAAAAAUAUGUUCUUUCAACAACUGUUUAUAUGUCAAGUCCUCCAAAUUAGGAACACAGCUAAUGACACCACAUGUGAGUUUGAUACUGCAUUUAUGAUCAGUUCCGCUGAAUAAGUACUGAGCAAAUGACACGAUAUUUAUUAAAAAUAAGGAACUGCUUUUGCCUACUGACAACCAUCACAAAUAAGUAAUUUAGUUUUUAGUGAAAAAUGAAAUGACUUGAUUCUUAUAUAGUUAGAAGAAUUCCCUUUUCUUUUUAAUGUGCAUUAUGAAUUAAAUUAAAAGUAUGCAUUUAACUUUCAGCAGUGCAUGUCCAAGUCAGCUGUAAUGCAAAUCACAAACUAAAGGCUCACAUAUAGAGAAAUGACAUCACCUAGGGCUCAGCAUACGUAGUACUUGAAUAGGAGCAGGAUUAUGUAAUACAUAUCCGCUUGUGAGAUGUGAAUUAAAUGACUAAUAAACACUUUGUAUUAUGACAUGCAUAAAAAAAUCUGGUAGUAGUUUUCAUGUGUUGUAGACUUGUAGUUUGAUUGCGUUUAUAUUGUCCUGUCAUGAAAGUUAACAAUGGGUUUAUGUGAUAUUCAGGGGUGCUGUUCAAAGAAUUAGGUAGCUUGCCUGAAUUCUUCUUGUGGGAGUUGUGCAGAAUCCAGGACAAU